RNAcentral lists this long non-coding RNA (1367 nucleotides) under Piliocolobus tephrosceles (Ugandan red Colobus). RNAcentral's name for it is "lncRNA (ENSPTEG00000011385.1)". Lineage: Eukaryota; Metazoa; Chordata; Mammalia; Primates; Cercopithecidae. The record is from RNAcentral.
AGUUGAAGGGGGUUUUUAAAAAAGGUAGUAAUGAACAAAUGAACAGUGUGAUAACUACAAGCAACAGAUUUGUUUAUUUAGAUUCACAUGAGUAUGGAAAACUGUUUCAAGAUAUACCUAAGUAUUUUUACUUGAAUAUUGCUUUAAAGAGAAAAACAGAGUUACUAAAAAAUGAGUUGAAUGGUGGGAAUUUCCAUUUGGGGGAGGAUGACAUGGGUGAAGAUGUAAGUGUUGGUACAGGAACAGGAACAGCAGCAGGAACAGCAGCAGGAACAGCAGCAGGAACAGGAGCAGCAGCAGCAGCAGGAACAGCAGGAACAGGAGCAGCAGCAGCAGCAGCAGGAACAGUAACAGCAACAGUAAUAGGCACAGAUACAGACACUGUAACAAGCACAGCAACAAGCACAGCAACAAGCAUAGCAACAAGCAUAGCAACAAGGGUAAUAGAUACUGGCAUAUACCCCGAACAAAAGUUCCAACAAAUAAUUGAUUCUUGCGUAUUGCAACUUUUAAUAUAUGCUUCAUUUUUAAUCCAAAAUAAAUUAGAUAAUAAUAUAUAUUUAAAAACGUAUCAUACUUCGAUUAGAAUAAAAAAUAAUAGUUGUAUGUAUUGGGGUGUGAGUCCUAAUAGUAAAAUAAUUAUAGAAAUUGUUCAUAACAAUAAUGUAUAUGUGUCUAAGAAAAUACGUAUCAAUCAAGUUUGUAUAAAUAAAAAAAUAAUAUUAAUGAAUAAAAAUAAAAAAAAGUAUAUAUUUUUAUCCAUGAGUAUAACAUUAAAUCCGAAUGUAUAUAACACAAAAAUAAUUACCAUUACGAAUAGAUAUACAAUUGUUAACAACACAAACUGUACAUUAUAUGUACAGGAAGUAAAAAAAGAGUUUAAUAUUAUAACAAAGGAAAAAAGCAAAAAAAUAGGUGAAUAUACUAGCGUAGAUAACAGAUAUGAUAGUGAAUAUGAUAAUAAGCACAAUAAAACUGUUAACUUAAAAAAUAAAUCUAAAAAAAAUAAUGUCCUGCUUAAACAGAGGGUUAGUAGUGUAGAGCAAGUGAUGUUGGGCAGUAGUGAUUAUCAGGAGGAGGAGGAUGAAGAGAAGGAAGAGAAAGAGAAGGAAGAGGAAGAGAAGGAAGAGGAAGAGGAGAAAGAGAAUGUAGCUAAUGGUGUGUGUUUGAUUAACCAGGGGACUCGCUUAACUAACAAAUCAAAUCGUUUAGUCAAGGACAAAAAACAUACUAAAAAUUUCAACAUAGUAAAAAUAAAACCAUUCGGUAUAUACCAUUAUCAUCCUAUAAAUGUACAUAAAUGCUAUUUAAAAUUUUCAUAUGUUAAUAUAAACGCUUGUAGCACCGAAGAAUCGUUUACAAAAAGG